CUUGUCUUGUGCUGCUGGGCGAAAAAUGCUGGAGUCAAAAAGGAAGGGCUUGAACAAGUUGAAGGACGAUUUGGAAAACUGGAGAGAGAUACUAUUGAUUCUCUAUGAUUUAUCUCAGUGGAAACUUCCUUACAGCCCGGUUAUAUUAGGCAGUACUAUUUCCGUGUUUUAUCUACUUCUGUGGUGGCUUGACUUGACCAUCAUUACCCAAUUUUCUAUUCUUCUACUAUUGUGGAUUCUUAUCAACUUUUUUUAUCCGACUAUCGCGAUAGUUUUCUUCAAACCCGAAAAAUGGACAGGAAUUCAGGAGAAACAACUGGAGAUAGUUAUUAUUACGAUUUUGGAUUUAAGCGAAUCUGCUACUGAAUUUUGGAACACUGUUUUCUGGGACAAAAAUAACAAGACAAUGGCGCAUUUAUUGAAUGUUAGCGGAACGUUGUUGGGUUUAGCAUGGAUCGGAGCAAGUAUGAACAACUUAUUGCUUAUUUACUUAAUAACAAU
Long non-coding RNA from Ochlerotatus camptorhynchus, 501 nucleotides. RefSeq lists it as uncharacterized. NCBI's taxonomy places the organism in Eukaryota, Metazoa, Arthropoda, Insecta, Diptera, Culicidae. The transcript has 3 exons. The record is from RefSeq and is a predicted model, not a curated record.